GACGAACGCUGGCGGCGUGCUUAACACAUGCAAGUCGAGGGCAGGCCGCAAGGCCUGACCGGCGAACGGGUGCGUAACACGUGAGCGACCUUCCGUCUUCUGGGGGAUAGCCGGCCCAAC
Molecule: ribosomal RNA, 120 nt
Filed under: uncultured bacterium
Lineage: Bacteria
Description: partial 16S ribosomal RNA
Rfam family: Bacterial small subunit ribosomal RNA
Source: RNAcentral